This is an RNA transcript of Brassica napus (rape), 1743 nucleotides long. It is a transcript of the gene named thioredoxin reductase 2-like, with no coding region annotated. Lineage: Eukaryota; Viridiplantae; Streptophyta; Magnoliopsida; Brassicales; Brassicaceae. The record is from RefSeq and is a predicted model, not a curated record. The transcript has 4 exons.
UUGUUAGUAAAUGCAACGUUUAUUUUAUUGUAGUAUUUUAUUUGGGGUACGCUUGCCACUUGGCAUACUAUAAUUUAAAUGAAAUAAUCUUUUGAAAAAGAUGACGGCUGUAAAGCAAAAGCCAAAGUAUAUUAUCACAUUUCAGCAAAAAAAAUAUAUUAUCAAUACCUAAGUUGCAAGGAAGCGGAAACGACAAAUGGAAACGUUUCGAAACGUUUGAAAACAUAAUUUUUGAAUUUGUUUUGUUUUGAAAACGUUUCAGAAACAUUUAUCUAUCUAUCUAUUAUUAUAAAGAACUGUUGGCUCUCUCCUCAGGCUUCCACGUCAGCCGCCAACUAGAUAAGUCACUUCCACUCAUAUCGACACGUGGUAUCUGUAUACGAAACACAUAGUUUCAUUAAGACAGGAAUUGUGAUGGGCUUUCGUACUCCUUUUCCGCCAUUAUUUCCAUAGUGAAGAAUCUCCUCCUAGGGGUUUUACCACAUCGAUUGCUCUACUCUUAAUCAACCGAAACACCACAGUUACAGAUCCAUGGCUUAAACGCCUCUUUAAUCCAUCAACCAUGAUUGGGUCUUCAAUGCAAAUCUCUCUUCUCCAGGACGGUCUAUUUGUUAGUAUAAAUAAGUAUGCUUUUCUCCUCCAGAAUCCCUUUAUUUUCUUCUUCCCUUUUUGAUUUCCCAUGAUUUCAUCAACUUAUCUUCAAUUUCAUCGACAUCGUCGACACGUUCUGGAAGCAAUCAGAGCGGUUCGGCACCGAUAUCUUCAUGGAGACAGUCACCAAGGUCGAUUUCUCCUCGAGGCCGUUCAAGAUCUUCACGGAUUCGAGAACUGUGCUCGCCGACGCCAUCAUCAUCUCCACCGAAGCUGUCGCGAAACGGUUGAGCUUCGUCCGAUCUGGCAAAGGCGCUGGUGGUUUCUGGAACCGAGGGAUCUCAGCCUGUGCUGUAUGCGACGGCACCGCUCUGAUCUUUAGGAACAAGCCUCUGGUAGUUAUCGGCGGCGGAGACUCUGCGAUGCAUGAGGUUUAUAUAAUCCACAGGUGCGAUACGUUCAGAGCGUCGAAGAUCAUGCAGCAGAGGGCGUUGUCGAAACCUAAGAUUGAAUUGAUUUGGAACUCUGUGGUGGUGGCGUAUGGAGAUGAGAACGGGAAAGGUCGGCUUGGUGGUUUGAAGGUGAAGAACGUUGUUGUUAGUGGUGAUGUUUCGGAUUUAAAAAUAUAUGGGUUGUUCUUUGCGAUUGGUCAUGAGCCAGAAACGAAGUUCUUGGAUGGGCAGUUUGAGCUUGAUGAGGAUGGGUAUGUGGUGACCAAGCCUGGUACCACUAAGACGAGCGUUCUUCUCUACGUGGCUGUGGAUUUCUUGCUAUAUAAAAGGACCCUCCAGCUCCUAUGCCAAAAGAUACAAAUUUGGAUGUAAUUAGAGUCUUAGUUGAUGUAACCAUCCGAUUCUCAUAUAUUACAAAGCCUGAGAGUUAUUUGCAAGACAUGGUUUGAUGGUUAUGGUGAACUCAGUAUGACUGCAGCAUAGAACAAGCCAUUGAUGGGGUGUUUAACAAAAGUUCAGAACUCAUCAGUCCGUAUAACAACUUGCUUAGCUGUAGGUUUGCUUAGUUUCCUUCCUCUUCAAUCCAAGGGACAAUCAACUGGGUUGGUCUGUUUCAUUUGACUGAAACUUGCAGCAAUGAAAAUGGUUUCUCACACUCAAAUUACCAAAAGAAGAAGAAGGCUCUCUCUCAACUAUUACA